UUGAAAUUAACACUAAUUAUUCAAUAGAUUUGACAAGUUGUAAAAUUUUUCCAAUAUUACCUAUACAGGUAUAUAAAUUGGGAGAAAAAUUACAGAAAAAAUAUAUAUAAAAACAAAACAUGACAAAGCCAUCAACCAAUACAAAUUAAAUUAACGUUAAUCGCACGUGCUCUAUGUUAAAAUGGAAAAAAAGACAGCUCCAUUUUAUAAUUUGAUGAAAUGAAAUGGUUCC
Molecule: long non-coding RNA, 232 nt
Filed under: Citrus sinensis (sweet orange)
Lineage: Eukaryota; Viridiplantae; Streptophyta; Magnoliopsida; Sapindales; Rutaceae
Description: long non-coding RNA (CSIN_LNC000127)
Source: RNAcentral